This 1031-nucleotide ribosomal RNA is filed under the name Clostridioides difficile. RNAcentral describes it as "partial 23S ribosomal RNA". It matches the Rfam family "Bacterial large subunit ribosomal RNA", at positions 393 to 1434 of the family's 2925-position model. Lineage: Bacteria; Bacillati; Bacillota; Clostridia; Peptostreptococcales; Peptostreptococcaceae. The record is from RNAcentral.
ACUUCAGAUAUGAUCCAGAGUACCACGGGACACGUGAAACCCUGUGGGAAGCAGGAGGGACCACCCUCCAAGGCUAAAUACUACCUAGUGACCGAUAGCGUAUAGUACCGUGAGGGAAAGGUGAAAAGAACCCCGGGAGGGGAGUGAAAUAGAACCUGAAACCCUGCACUUACAAGCUGUGGAAGCACAUUUCUUGUGUGACCGCGUACUUUUUGUAGAACGGGCCAACGAGUUACGUUAAGUAGCAAGGUUAAGCACUUAAGGUGCGGAGCCGUAGCGAAAGCGAGUUUUAACUGAGCGUUCAGUUACUUGACGUAGACCCGAAACCGGGCGACCUACCCAUGAGCAGGAUGAAGCGAAAGUAAAAUUUCGUGGAGGUCCGAACCCACGAGCGUUGAAAAGCUCGGGGAUGACUUGUGGGUAGCGGUGAAAUUCCAAUCGAGCCCGGAGAUAGCUGGUUCUCCCCGAAAUAGCUUUAGGGCUAGCCUCAAGGUGAGAGAUACGGAGGUAGAGCACUGAAUGUCCUAGGGGGUAUUGCACCUACCGAAGACUAUCAAACUCCGAAUGCCGUCAUCUUAUACUUGGGAGUCAGACUGUGGGUGAUAAGAUUCAUAGUCGAAAGGGCAACAGCCCAGAUCGUCAGCUAAGGUCCCUAAAUGUAAGUUAAGUGGUAAAGGAUGUGGGAUUGCACAGACAACCAGGAUGUUGGCUUAGAAGCAGCCACUCAUUCAAAGAGUGCGUAAUAGCUCACUGGUCGAGUGAUCCUGCGCCGAAGAUUUCCGGGGCUAAAACUUACUACCGAAGCUACGGCAUCAGUAAUGAUGGGUAGGGGAGCUUCCCAUACGGGUUGAAGCAUGACCGUAAGGACAUGUGGACAGUAUGGGAGUGAGAAUGUUGGCAUGAGUAGCGAGAUGUGGGUGAGAAUCCCACAGGCCGUAAACCCAAGGUUUCCAGGGGAAGGUUCGUCCGCCCUGGGUUAGUCGGGACCUAAGCUGAGGCCGAAAGGCGUAGGUGAUGGACAACAGGUUGAU